AGGGAUUGCCCUAGUAACGGCGAGUGAAGCGGCAACAGCUCAAAUUUGAAAUCUGGCCUCGGCCCGAGUUGUAAUUUGCAGAGGAAGCUUUAGGCGCGGCACCUUCUGAGUCCCCUGGAACGGGGCGCCAUAGAGGGUGAGAGCCCCGUAUAGUUGGAUGCCUAGCCUGUGUNNAGCUCCUUCGACGAGUCGAGUAGUUUGGGAAUGCUGCUCAAAAUGGGAGGUAAAUUUCUUCUAAAGCUAAAUACCGGCCAGAGACCGAUAGCGCACAAGUAGAGUGAUCGAAAGAUGAAAAGCACUUUGAAAAGAGGGUUAAAUAGCACGUGAAAUUGUUGAAAGGGAAGCGCUUGUGACCAGACUUGCGCCGGGCUGAUCAUCCGGUGUUCUCACCGGUGCACUCGGCCCGGCUCAGGCCAGCAUCGGUUCUCGCGGGGGGAUAAAGGCCCUGGGAACGUAGCUCCUCCGGGAGUGUUAUAGCCCAGGGCGUAAUGCCCUCGCGGGGACCGAGGUUCGCGCAUCUGCAAGGAUGCUGGCGUAAUGGUCAUCAGCGACCCGUCUUGAAACACGGACCAAGGAGUCAAGGUUUUGCGCGAGUGUUUGGGUGUAAAACCCGCACGCGUAAUGAAAGUGAACGUAGGUGAGAGCUUCGGCGCAUCAUCGACCGAUCCUGAUGUUUUCGGAUGGAUUUGAGUAGGAGCGUUAAGCCUUGGACCCGAAAGAUGGUGAACUAUGCUUGGAUAGGGUGAAGCCAGAGGAAACUCUGGUGGAGGCUCGCAGCGGUUCUGACGUGCAAAUCGAUCGUCAAAUC
RNAcentral lists this ribosomal RNA (808 nucleotides) under Parachaetomium carinthiacum. RNAcentral's name for it is "LSU rRNA". It matches the Rfam family "Eukaryotic large subunit ribosomal RNA", at positions 70 to 911 of the family's 3401-position model. The record is from RNAcentral. Lineage: Eukaryota; Fungi; Ascomycota; Sordariomycetes; Sordariales; Chaetomiaceae.